GAUUUAUACCUAUUCGAAGGGAUGGGUCGUUCGGCCGGAUUUUACACAGGUGUUGCAUGGCUGUCGUCAGCUCGUGUCGUGAGUGUUGGGUUAAGUCCCGCAACGAGCGCAACCCUCAUCCUUAGUUGCCAUCAGGUAAUGCUAGCAUUAAGGAAACUGCCAGUGAUAAGCUGGAGGAAGAUGGGGAUGAUGUCAAGUCAUCAUGCCUUAUGAAGUGGGCUACACACGUGCUACAAUGGUGUCUACAGUGGGCUGCAAGGUGCGAACUAAGCUAAUCCCUAAAAGACAUCUCAGUUCGGAUUGUACUCUGCAACUCGAGUGCAGAGUUGGAAUCGCUAGUAAUCGUGGAUCAGCAUGCCACGGUGAAUACGUUCCCGGGUCUUACACACUGCCCGUC
RNAcentral lists this ribosomal RNA (397 nucleotides) under Wolbachia sp. RNAcentral describes it as "bacterial SSU rRNA". It matches the Rfam family "Bacterial small subunit ribosomal RNA", at positions 988 to 1398 of the family's 1533-position model. Lineage: Bacteria; Pseudomonadati; Pseudomonadota; Alphaproteobacteria; Rickettsiales; Anaplasmataceae. The record is from RNAcentral.